This 440-nucleotide ribosomal RNA is filed under the name uncultured bacterium. RNAcentral describes it as "partial 16S ribosomal RNA". It matches the Rfam family "Bacterial small subunit ribosomal RNA", at positions 338 to 795 of the family's 1533-position model. The record is from RNAcentral.
CCUACGGGGGGCAGCAGUAGGGAAUAUUGCUCAAUGGGGGAAACCCUGAAGCAGCAACGCCGCGUGGAGGAUGAAGGUUUUGGGAUUGUAAACUCCUUUUGUUAGGGAAGCUAAUGACGGUAUGUAACGAAUAAGCACCGGCUAACUCCGUGCCAGCAGCCGCGGUAAUACGGUGGGGGCAAGCGUUACUCGGAAUCACUGGGCGUAAAGAGCGCGUAGGCGGGAUAGCAAGUCAGAUGGGAAAUCCUAUGGCUUAACCAUAGAACUGCAUUUGAAACUGUUAUUCUCGAGUAUGGGAGAGGUAGGUGGAAUGCUGGGUGUAGGGGUAAAAUCCGUAGAGAUCGAGAGGAAUACUCAUUGCGAAGGCGACCUGCUAGAACCUAACUGACGCUGAUGCGCGAAAGCGUGGGUAGCAAACAGGAUUAGAUACCCGUGUAGUC